UGGGUAGGGGAGCGUUCUGUAAGCCUGUGAAGGUGGCCUGUGAGGGUUGCUGGAGGUAUCAGAAGUGCGAAUGCUGACAUAAGUAACGAUAAAGCGGGUGAAAAGCCCGCUCGCCGGAAGACCAAGGGUUCCUGUCCAACGUUAAUCGGGGCAGGGUGAGUCGACCCCUAAGGCGAGGCCGAAAGGCGUAGUCGAUGGGAAACGGGUUAAUAUUCCCGUACUUGGUGUUACUGCGAAGGGGGGACGGAGAAGGCUAUGUUGGCCGGGCGACGGUUGUCCCGGUUUAAGCGUGUAGGCUGGUUUUCCAGGCAAAUCCGGAAAAUCAAGGCUGAGGCGUGACGACGAGGCACUACGGUGCUGAAGCAACAAAUGCCCUGCUUCCAGGAAAAGCCUCUAAGCAUCAGGUAACAUCAAAUCGUACCCCAAACCGACACAGGUGGUCAGGUAGAGAAUACCAAGGCGCUUGAGAGAACUCGGGUGAAGGAACUAGGCAAAAUGGUGCCGUAACUUCGGGAGAAGGCACGCUGACACGUAGGUGAAGUGAUUUACUCACGGAGCUGAAGUCAGUCGAAGAUACCAGCUGGCUGCAACUGUUUAUUAAAAACACAGCACUGUGCAAACACGAAAGUGGACGUAUACGGUGUGACGCCUGCCCGGUGCCGGAAGGUUAAUUGAUGGGGUCAGCGCAAGCGAAGCUCCUGAUCGAAGCCCCGGUAAACGGCGGCCGUAACUAUAACGGUCCUAAGGUAGCGAAAUUCCUUGUCGGGUAAGUUCCGACCUGCACGAAUGGCGUAAUGAUGGCCAGGCUGUCUCCACCCGAGACUCAGUGAAAUUGAACUCGCUGUGAAGAUGCAGUGUACCCGCGGCAAGACGGAAAGACCCCGUGAACCUUUACUAUAGCUUGACACUGAACAUUGAGCCUUGAUGUGUAGGAUAGGUGGGAGGCUUUGAAGUGUGGACGCCAGUCUGCAUGGAGCCGACCUUGAAAUACCACCCUUUAAUGUUUGAUGUUCUAACGUGGACCCGUGAUCCGGGUUGCGGACAGUGUCUGGUGGGUAGUUUGACUGGGGCGGUCUCCUCCUAAAGAGUAACGGAGGAGCACGAAGGUUGGCUAAUCCUGGUCGGACAUCAGGAGGUUAGUGCAAUGGCAUAAGCCAGCUUGACUGCGAGCGUGACGGCGCGAGCAGGUGCGAAAGCAGGUCAUAGUGAUCCGGUGGUUCUGAAUGGAAGGGCCAUCGCUCAACGGAUAAAAGGUACUCCGGGGAUAACAGGCUGAUACCGCCCAAGAGUUCAUAUCGACGGCGGUGUUUGGCACCUCGAUGUCGGCUCAUCACAUCCUGGGGCUGAAGUAGGUCCCAAGGGUAUGGCUGUUCGCCAUUUAAAGUGGUACGCGAGCUGGGUUUAGAACGUCGUGAGACAGUUCGGUCCCUAUCUGCCGUGGGCGCUGGAGAACUGAGGGGGGCUGCUCCUAGUACGAGAGGACCGGAGUGGACGCAUCACUGGUGUUCGGGUUGUCAUGCCAAUGGCACUGCCCGGUAGCUAAAUGCGGAAGAGAUAAGUGCUGAAAGCAUCUAAGCACGAAACUUGCCCCGAGAUGAGUUCU
Molecule: ribosomal RNA, 1603 nt
Filed under: Salmonella enterica
Lineage: Bacteria; Pseudomonadati; Pseudomonadota; Gammaproteobacteria; Enterobacterales; Enterobacteriaceae
Description: bacterial LSU rRNA
Rfam family: Bacterial large subunit ribosomal RNA
Source: RNAcentral